ACGCUCGACACCUACGAGGCAGCAGUGGGGAAUAUUGCACAAUGGGGGAAACCCUGAUGCAGCGACGCCGCGUGAGCGAAGAAGUAUUUCGGUAUGUAAAGCUCUAUCAGCAGGGAAGAAAAUGACGGUACCUGACUAAGAAGCCCCGGCUAACUACGUGUCAGCAGCCGCGGUAAUCUGAGCGGGCUGGCAAGGC
RNAcentral lists this ribosomal RNA (196 nucleotides) under uncultured bacterium. RNAcentral's name for it is "partial 16S ribosomal RNA". It matches the Rfam family "Bacterial small subunit ribosomal RNA", at positions 326 to 539 of the family's 1533-position model. The record is from RNAcentral.